This 420-nucleotide long non-coding RNA is filed under the name Solanum tuberosum (potato). RNAcentral describes it as "long non-coding RNA (STUB_LNC011787)". Lineage: Eukaryota; Viridiplantae; Streptophyta; Magnoliopsida; Solanales; Solanaceae. The record is from RNAcentral.
UCAAACACCUCCAUUUUUACAAUGUCUCAGGCAUCUCAAACAUCCAAUGCAAAAAAGUUUUACAAUUGUUAUUGUGGUGAUCCAACUACGUUGAGGACGUCACCUACCAAUGCAAAUUCAGGUCGAUAAUUUUUUUAUUGUGCAGUUGGCAUAUGCUCUUUUUUUAGAUGACUUGAAAAUGAAUCAUCAACGAGUAGCCCAUCGAAUUUUUAAGGCGUUGCCAAAUUUGAAAUAUUAAAGAAGCUACGAAAAUUUGAAGAAAAUAGAAAUCUGCUAAUGACUUUCUUAAAAGAAGCCAAAGAGUAGAGGAAUCACUUGAAAGUUUUGCUAACAGAUGUUGAAAUGGACAAAGAUCAACUAAAAAAGCGUUGAUUUUGGCAGAAGAAAAAGAAAAACGCCUAAAACUAUAUUGUGUGCUUU